UAAUACUUAGUACUGUUUCCUUACUGUGGUCUUAUUGGUUUUCAGACUGACAAUGGUACAGCCCCACUAUUCUCUAUACCUGAGAGUGCAAUACCGAAAAAUCCAUUUACAAGCGUGCUUCUCCGUUCCCGUUUGCCUUUUGAUGUAUCGUGUAACCUUUUGAAUUCGAGUGCAGGGAAAUACAUAGUCCCUAAAUGUAAUGAAGGCUUUUUUAUGGAAUUCCUUACAGAUUUACUGCUAGGCUUGUCUUACCAGUUAAGAUCGGCGGGGAGAGAUUACUGAAAGAUGUCCUGGAAAUCCUUCCAUUCCGAUUAGGUGCUUAUUGGGUAACAUUGAUGCUCAUUAUGAGAAGGCAUUGGAAGUUUCAAACAGCAAUACAUGACUCCAAACAACUGAACUGGUGAUUUCUAGGACUUCGUUUUUGUACACACUCCCGCUAUUUUCAUGUUGAUCUAGUCAAUAAAGCUAAAACUAAGUACUGUGAAGAUAUUUGAAGAAACAACCUAGUGACAGUAGCUUUAUAGCAUUUUUCUUAUGUUUCAUAAUGGAAUUUUAUUGUGUAUAUUUAAACUAAGUUCAUAAUGUCCUAAAGUGCUGUUAGCAUGGGUGAUUGUCU
Long non-coding RNA from Papaver somniferum (opium poppy), 616 nucleotides. RefSeq lists it as uncharacterized. NCBI's taxonomy places the organism in Eukaryota, Viridiplantae, Streptophyta, Magnoliopsida, Ranunculales, Papaveraceae. The record is from RefSeq and is a predicted model, not a curated record. The transcript is spliced from 3 exons.